This 22-nucleotide transfer RNA is filed under the name Cooperia oncophora. Its description in RNAcentral is "partial tRNA-Ser". Lineage: Eukaryota; Metazoa; Nematoda; Chromadorea; Rhabditida; Trichostrongylidae. The record is from RNAcentral.
AAUGAGUUAUAUGCAAGUCUUC